This 2580-nucleotide long non-coding RNA is filed under the name Hordeum vulgare. RNAcentral describes it as "long non-coding RNA (HVUL_LNC010460)". The record is from RNAcentral. Lineage: Eukaryota; Viridiplantae; Streptophyta; Magnoliopsida; Poales; Poaceae.
GCCUCAAGCCAUCAGUGUGCGGCCACCCCCCUAAGAAUGCCAUGUUGGCUUGGCGGCACAAUGUGUGCCCUCCGGUAUUCCUUUGAAACUUCCAGGUCUUAUUUUUGUUCAAAAAUAAUCAAAAAGUUUCGGGGUAUUUGGACUUUGUUUGAUACAGUAUAAAAGGCCAAAACAUGCAGAAAAUAACAACUGGCUUGUCACUGGGUUAAUGGUUAGUGCUUCAAAAUAAUAUAAAGAAGUAAGUAAAUGCUUAAAUGUGUUAUUAAAUGAUAAUAUAAUAGCAUGAAACAAUAAAAAGUUAUAGAUACAUUGGAGACGUAUCAGUUAUCAAAGCAUACCCACUCACUCAAGGAAAUGAUCGAGGCAAUCAAAGCCUUGGUUGGGGAAAACACUGAAGACAUUGUAGUCCUUGGUGUGGCUCCAUUUUUCGUUGUUAGCCCGACCCCUGAGGUAAGUCGGCUCCUUUAUUUUGUCAAUACACUCUUUAUCUCCUUUUGACCCCUUUAAGAAAAAUGGCUUAUAUUUUUCAACAUGACAAUGAACAGUGGAAAACUGAUUAUCAAGCUCCUAAUCCCCUGAAGAGGAAGUAGAGAAGAUACAAAAUGGUGAGACAAAUGAGGCAAAGCCCGAUUUUUUGGGUUGGCUGUUUAUUGCACUUCCUGACACCGACUCUUCUCAGAGUUUCUUUGGUGGUGGUGAGCCGACAGAACAAGAGGUAAAUCCUAGUGUCUCUUGUUGAACCUGUAAUUCCACGGCCCGGUUUCAGUAGCUAGGUUUGCAUUUCUUCAGCCAACUGAAUAAACGGCCAUGUGGGCCGGUAGUCAGCUCCCGUUAGAAUAGCUCAUUUUCAGUUAGAAGUAGCUAGCUUGGCGCGGCCGUUGCUGGGCAUGGGAUGGCAUGCUGAAUACAGCCGGCGGCUCGCGCACAUCACCCGGAUCACGAGCGUCGUGGGAUGGCACGACCGGUAAGCUCGCGGACGUGGUUGAUCUUUCUCUGUAACGUUUACAAAUAAGAGUAAUAGAAGUGAGAAAAGCUGCAGUUGUUGCACGCAGCACCAAAAACCCUCUCCUCCGUCUACCUUCAGCCCUCUGCGAUCUGCGAGAGAGAGAGAGCACUCCGACGUCUUCGGUUCCAACAUCUCUUGCUCUAAGACUCUGGGCAAAAGGCAGGUCCGACUUGUUGUUUGAAAGGUACCAUUUUCACACACAUCCGCUUAUAUGGAUACCCACUUACCUUUGAAGAUAAUUCAGCAUGCCGAGAGCAAGAAAAGGAAGACCCAGAGUUCCGACUCAGUGGAUCUUCACGAAGGUCUCUCUCUGGAGCCAUAUCCAUGUCGGGAUUGUAGGUAUGAAAAAUCAAGUCCUUUUGCUUCCUGUCCUCGAUCCGUGCAAAUGAAGGCACCGAUGAGUCCUUCAAACCCAGCGUUUGUGGCUUCCUCACCUUCAUCUCGCGCCUCAAGCACCAAUGCCGACUUUACCAUUAACGUUGGGUUAGCCGACACUUCAAUUGUAACAGUAAUAAUUUGCAAAUGUCUCCAUACCUUAUAUGUAUUCCUUUAUCUUUUUGAACAGGGCCAAGGCAACACUCAAGGAAAAGACGACUCCUUCCAUAGCCGCUAGUGCUGGAGCAGAGACAAUAAGCUGUGGUGGUGCUGUCAUGAACACUAGUGAGUCGGCAAGGACUGAGCUAGCCCAAGGUACUCCCUUCCAAGAUGAGCCGAUCUUGGAUGACUCAGUCCUUCAAGACCAACAAGAGGCAAUGAUGGAUGUGGUGAUGGAUAACAUGCCACCAGCCAUGGCCAGUCCUAAGCCGGUGGAAGAUGAGGUGGUGGUUACUCAUACUAAACACCAUACUCCACCCAAGACUUUGACAGUUCUGGUGAAAACUACAGUGGAACAUAACUCGGCUCCACCUAGUGAGCCGACUCAUGACGCCCAUCUCGAAUAAUAUGAAGACAUGGGUUUAUCAUCCCUUCACCAUGAGUAUGUAGAGGCAGAGCCUAUCAGCAUUUGUGUCGGCGCAGCAACUGUCAAUUCUUGAAAAAAUGAUUUUUCGCUUUGGUUACCCACACAACGUUAUCAUUUAUAAUGGCACCAACUUGUCCAAAUAAGCUAUGAAGCAGUUUUGCGAGAAGGAGCACAUCCGACUAGAUCUGGCCUCUGUAUCACAUCCGUAGUCUAACGGUAAAGCAAAGUGCCAAUCACGAACAAUUGCAUGGGAUUAAGCCAUGACUCAUGGUUCCCCUUGAGCGCACUCAUGGAUUGUGGGUUGAGGUGUUGGAAAUAUGCCCUAGAGACAAUAAUAAAUUGGUUAUUAUCAUAUUUACUUGUUCGUGAUAAUUGUUUAUUAUCAAUGGUGUAAUUGUAUUGGCCGAAAACUCAGAUACAUGUGUGGAUACAUAGACAACACCGUGUCACUAGUGAGGAUCUAUUAGAGUAGCUCAUUGAUCAAAGAUGGUUAAUGUUUCUAACCAUAGACAUGAGUUGUUGUGUGAUAAUGAGAUCACAUCAUUAGGAGAAUGAUGUGAUGGAUAGGACCCAACCGUAAGCAUAGCAUUUAAUCGUAUCCUAAGUUUAUUUC